UCUGCAUCUAAUCUUGCUUUGUUUCUUGUAAUAUUCUCAUCCUCGUUAGUUUUUCUUUCAGUGAUUUGAGUGUAAUUUACUCUUAUAAUUUUAUGUGUCUAAAAUUACUACUCUUUUUUUGAAAGAAAAAAAAUUCAUUAAUGAGAAAGUUACCGAAUUUAAAAAUUCAACUGAUGAUAAUUAUGAUUGUUUUGGUACUGUUUGUAUCGACUGAAACGCUCUGUUCUAAUAACAAAGCAGAGUAAUAAAUUUUAGGUCCAUAUAAAUUUUGGAUGGUAUCAGCCGCAUCGGUGCAUACCAGUUGAUU
RNAcentral lists this long non-coding RNA (307 nucleotides) under Gossypium raimondii (Peruvian cotton). Its description in RNAcentral is "long non-coding RNA (GRAI_LNC005941)". The record is from RNAcentral. Lineage: Eukaryota; Viridiplantae; Streptophyta; Magnoliopsida; Malvales; Malvaceae.